Molecule: ribosomal RNA, 498 nt
Filed under: uncultured bacterium
Lineage: Bacteria
Description: partial 16S ribosomal RNA
Rfam family: Bacterial small subunit ribosomal RNA
Source: RNAcentral
GGAUGAACGCUGGCGGCGUGCCUAAUACAUGCAAGUCGAGCGAACAGCCGAGUAGCUUGCUCCUCUGACGUUCGCGGCGGACGGGUGAGUAACACGUGGAUAACCUACCUAUAAGACUGGGAUAACUUCGGGAAACCGGAGCUAAUACCGGAUAAUAUAUUGAACCGCAUGGUUCAAUAGUGAAAGACGGUUUUGCUUUCACUUAUAGCUGGAUCCGCGCCGCAUUAGCUAGUUGGUAAGGUAACGGCUUACCAAGGCAACGAUGCGUAGCCGACCUGAGAGGGUGAUCGGCCACACUGGAACUGAGACACGGUCCAGACUCCUACGGGAGGCAGCAGUAGGGAAUCUUCCGCAAUGGGCGAAAGCCUGACGGAGCAACGCCGCGUGAGUGAUGAAGGUCUUCGGAUCGUAAAACUCUGUUAUUAGGGAAGAACAAAUGUGUAAGUAACUAUGCACGUCUUGACGGUACCUAAUCAGAAAGCCACGGCUAACUACGUG